CUGCCUGUGCGCGCGCCCGCUGUCGUGUUUACGGGGCUGCGGUUCUGCGCCUCGCGCGUUCACACGGUCUGAGCGUGUUAUGAUCGCUUCUUCUGCUUACACCGCUCCUCUGAGUGCGCCAUUAACGCGCGCCGGACGCGUCAGCGCGGUGGAAACGGCCGGUUAACGAUGUAUCGCUCUCUGUUCGACUUCAGCUCGGCGGAGCGGAACGCGCUGCGCUUCCCCGCGGGAGACUCUUUCCUCGUGCUCGAGCGCAGCAGCGCGCACUGGUGGCUCGCGACGCGCUGCAGCUCCGGCGAGACCGGAUACAUCCCCGCCGCGUACCUCGAGAAGAUACCGGCUCCAGAGCAGGACGAGGUGCUGCAGUCUGUUGAUCAAGCCAUUGAAGCCAUUCACAAUGUGGCCAUGACCAAUGGAGGCAAAUACAACCUGGAGCAGAGAGACAUCCUGCAGAAGUUGAUCCACCACAGGAAGGAGACUCUGUCCCGCAGAAGCCCGACUCCAUCCGGUCACAAGCAGAAGAUCCCAUCCUCCUCCAGCGAGGUGUCACUGAGCCGCGCGCCGCAGCCUCCCAACGGCCUGAGCCGAGCCUACAGCUGCCAGGGCAGCGAGCCGAUGUCCGAGCGUCCCGCUAGCGUUCCUGGACUCUAUCAGGUUCCUCCUCAGCCUCGCAGAGCGGCGCCCGUGACUCCGCCUCCUCCGGAGAAACACCGCGAGUUACGACGCAACGAUCCAGAGGUGUCACUGAGAGUUUCCUCCACAAGCCCCGCCCCCAGGCCUGUCCCUCCCACUGGGCCCUCUCUGUCUGUCAGCUCCGCCUCCUUAGACUCCAGCUCCUCCCACUCUGGCGUUUCCUCAGAUGUCAGUCUUCCCAGCAUCAGCAGCACUCCGCCCCCUGUUCCAAAACGAGGCAAGGCUCCGCCCCCUCCUCUCCCUGACCGAUCCCCUCAGGAAGAGCCUUCUAAAAAGAGUUCACAGGCUCCGCCCCCUCCCGUGCCUGACCAGUCCCCUUCUCCAGACCCUUCGAAGAAGAAGCCGGUGCCUCAGCCAAUCAGUCAACAGCCUGCUGCCGAACACCAAUCGGACGUGGAGUGGCCGCUGGGCCCGCCCCCUGCUUCUCUCAGCGCUCCUAGUAGCCCCACCCAGUCUGCAGCCGUUCCCGUGACCAUCGGAGCGGAAAUGAUUGAACUGGUGCGCAAGAACACGGGCCUUAGUUACGAGUUGUCGCGGGUUGCCGUGGGCGUGGUGGUGGGUCACCUGCAGAGUGCGUUGCCGAGAGCAACGGCGGACCUGGAGCAGGUGCUGCUGUCGCUGGUGGAGAGUAAGGAUCUGGGCGCGGCGCUGCCGCUUGGCCAGGUGUGUCACGACGAGCAGCGGCUGCAGGUGAUCUUUAGCGAUCUGGCGCGACACCGUGAUGACUCGCAGCAGCGCAGCUGGGCUCUGUACGAAGAUCACGCACUCAUCGCAUGUUACCUGGAGGAGUUACUGCAGAUACUGACUGACGCGGCUCCUGAGGUGUGUAAGAAGAUGUGUCGCGUGAACGAGUGUGAGGCGGUUCUGUCGCUGGUGUCGUAUUAUCAGAUGGAGCACCGCGUGUCGCUGCGGCUGCUGCUGCUGAAGGUGUUCGGGGCGAUGUGUGGUCUGGACGCGGCGCUGAUCUCCACCCUCCUGAACUCCGUCCUGACCAUGGAGCUGGCGAGGGACCUGCAGACGGACACUCAGGAGCAUGAGAAGAUGUGCUACAGCGCGCUGCUGAUGGCCAUGAUCUUCUGCAGGGGCGAGCAGAUCCCGCUGCAUCACUACGAGCAUCUGAACGCUGCUUUCCUGCAGUUCCUGCUGGACGUGAUUGAGGACGGCUUGCCCUCUGACUCCACAGAGCAGCUGCCGGACCUCUUCAUCAACCUGCUGCUGGCCUUCAACCUGCACCUCAGCGUACCGGAGAGUAACAUGGUGAUGCAGGCGCUGAUCAAGAGACACAAUGUGAAGAUUCUCACUGAGAAACUCUUAUUACUGCUCAACAGAGGAGAGGAUCCGGUGUGUGUGUUCGAUCACGCUCCUCCUGCGCUGCACUCAGUGCUCAAGUUCCUGCAGGAUGUGUUCUCCAGUCGAGACACGGCUGAUAUCUUCUACCGCAGCGACCUGAUGGUGAUGAUCGACAUCGCAGUGAGACAGAUCUCAGACCUGUCGCCCGGUGACAGAAUGCGGAUGGAGUAUCUGUCUCUCAUGCUGGCCCUCAUGCGCUCCACUGACUAUCUGGAGCACCGGCACCGGCUGAGCGACCUGCAGGCGGCGCUGCAGAGGAUCCUGGGAGAAGAGGAGGACUGUGGGGAGGAUCUGGGCUCCAGCAGACAGAUGGACAAACUCAUUGUGCAGCAGAUCCGCCAGGAGUUCCCUCAGGUCUAUAGAGACUGAGUGUGUAGAGUGUGUUAGUCUUAACACUCGCCAGAUCCCACACGUUCUCUCUGUUUCCCAGCUGAUUCACUGACCUGUAACCCUUGACCUCUGAGUAGCCCCGCCAUCCUUCAGCAGUGAGGGGAAUAUGAUCUGUUCAGUAUUAAUGCAGGUCUGUGUUUGUGCUAAUCACGUCUGAUGCAGCUUUGUGCGAAAUUAUCUAUUUUUCCUCUUAUGUUGUUGUUCAGAAGGGAAACGGUAACCAUAUAUUUUCUUAAUGUUGAAAGACUAAUAAAAUGCUGCCAUCCUAAUGCACCUAAAA
Molecule: RNA transcript, 2713 nt
Organism: Sinocyclocheilus grahami
Lineage: Eukaryota; Metazoa; Chordata; Actinopteri; Cypriniformes; Cyprinidae
Gene: nckipsd
Gene name: NCK interacting protein with SH3 domain
Exons: 14
Source: RefSeq, a predicted model, not a curated record